RNAcentral lists this non-coding RNA (31 nucleotides) under Homo sapiens (human). The record is from RNAcentral. Lineage: Eukaryota; Metazoa; Chordata; Mammalia; Primates; Hominidae.
UUUGGGGAUGAAAAUGAUCUACUGUCUCCAA